AACCACACAUACAAGAAGUCGUCUGGAUGUGACCAUCACACAUCUGACCAAAUAUGACUCUGGACGUUACAGCUGUGGUUUGGACAAAUCUUGGUCAAUAGAUCCAUACCAGCAGUUUAAGAUCAUCGUCACAGAUGGUUCGCUGCUGUAUGUGUGUCUGACUCUGGUCAUCAUUGCUGUGCUCCUGUUCUCUGUGGCUGUGCUGAUACUCAAGAAAAGAGCCUCUAAACCCAAAGAACAUCCUGAGGAAACAGAGUG
This is a long non-coding RNA of Scomber scombrus (Atlantic mackerel), 258 nucleotides long. RefSeq lists it as uncharacterized. Lineage: Eukaryota; Metazoa; Chordata; Actinopteri; Scombriformes; Scombridae. The record is from RefSeq and is a predicted model, not a curated record. The transcript has 3 exons.